GAUGAAGAACGUAGUGAAAUGCGAUAAGUAAUGUGAAUUGCAGAAUUCAGUGAAUCAUCGAAUCUUUGAACGCACAUUGCGCCCAUUAGUAUUCUAGUGGGCAUGCCUGUUCGAGCGUCAUUAAGUCCACUUAAGCCCUGCUUAGUGUUGGGAGACUGCUCCAGCGGUGCUACCCUGUAGCUACCCUGCAGCUCCUCAAAGACAGCGGCGGAGUUGUGGUAUCCUCUGAGCUUAGUAACUUGUUCUAGCUUUCGAGUACACCACUUCCCCUGCCGUAAAACCCUUAAUUUUUAAUGGUUGACCUCGGAUCAGGUAGGAAUACCCGCUGAACUUAAGCAUAUCAAUAAGCGGAGGA
Molecule: unclassified non-coding RNA, 355 nt
Filed under: soil metagenome
Description: partial contains 5.8S ribosomal RNA, internal transcribed spacer 2, and large subunit ribosomal RNA
Rfam family: 5.8S ribosomal RNA (bases 1-120)
Source: RNAcentral